CAGCCGCCGCGGUAAUACCGGCGGCCCGAGUGGCGGCCACUAUUAUUGGGCUUAAAGCGUCCGUAGCCGGGUUGGUUAGUCUCCUGGGAAAUCUGGCCGCUUAACGGUCAGAAUUCCGGGAGAUACUGCCAGCCUAGGGACCGGGAGAGGCCGAGGGUAUUCCCGGAGUAGGGGUGAAAUCCUAUAAUCCCGGGAGGACCACCUGUGGCGAAGGCGCUCGGCUGGAACGGGUCCGACGGUGAGGGACGAAGGCCAGGGGAGCAAACCGGAUUAGAUACCCGGGUAGUCCUGGCUGUAAACGAUGCGGACUUUGUGUCGGACAAGCUAUGAGCUUGUCCGGUGCCGGAGGGAAACCGUUAAGUCCGCCGCCUGGGGAGUACGGCCGCAAGGCUGAAACUUAAAGGAAUUGGCGGG
RNAcentral lists this ribosomal RNA (414 nucleotides) under uncultured microorganism. RNAcentral's name for it is "bacterial SSU rRNA". It matches the Rfam family "Archaeal small subunit ribosomal RNA", at positions 459 to 872 of the family's 1478-position model. The record is from RNAcentral.